AUUGAACGCUGGCGGCAUGCGUAACACAUGCAAGUGGAACGGUAACAGGCCUUCGGGCGCUGACGAGUGGCGGACGGGUGAGUAAUGCAUAGGAAUUUGCCUUGAAGUGGGGGAUAGCCCGGAGAAAUCCGGAUUAAUACCCCAUAUGUUUUACGGAACAAAGUGGGCCUCUGAUUUAAGCUCAUGCUUUGAGAUAAGCCUAUGUCGGAUUAGCUAGUUGGUAGGGUAAAGGCCUACCAAGGCGCCGAUCCGUAGCUGGUUUGAGAGGAUGAUCAGCCCCCCUGGGAGUGAGACCCGGCCCAGACUCCUACGGGAGGCAGCAGUGGGGAAUAUUGGACAAUGGGCGCAAGCCUGAUCCAGCAAUGCCGGGU
This 371-nucleotide ribosomal RNA is filed under the name uncultured bacterium. RNAcentral's name for it is "bacterial SSU rRNA". It matches the Rfam family "Bacterial small subunit ribosomal RNA", at positions 30 to 402 of the family's 1533-position model. The record is from RNAcentral.